RNAcentral lists this ribosomal RNA (500 nucleotides) under uncultured bacterium. RNAcentral describes it as "partial 16S ribosomal RNA". It matches the Rfam family "Bacterial small subunit ribosomal RNA", at positions 30 to 523 of the family's 1533-position model. The record is from RNAcentral.
AUUGAACGCUGGCGGAAUGCUUUACACAUGCAAGUCGAACGGCAGCACGGACUUCGGUCUGGUGGCGAGUGGCGAACGGGUGAGUAAUGUAUCGGAACGUGCCCAGUCGUGGGGGAUAACGUAGUGAAAAUUACGCUAAUACCGCAUACGAUCUAUGGAUGAAAGCGGGGGAUCGCAAGACCUCGCGUGAUUGGAGCGGCCGAUAUCAGAUUAGGUAGUUGGUGGGGUAAAGGCCCACCAAGCCAACGAUCUGUAGCUGGUCUGAGAGGACGACAAGCCACACUGGAAGUGUGGAACGGUCCAGACUCCUACGGGAGUCAGCAGUGGGGAAUUUUGGACAAUGGGCGAAAGCCUGAUCCAGCCAUUCCGCGUGCAGGAUGAAGGCCCUCGGGUUGUAAACUGCUUUUGUACAGAACGAAAAGGUUUCUACUAAUACUAGGAGCUCAUGACGGUACUGUAAGAAUAAGCACCGGCUAACUACGUGCCAGCCGCCGCCGUAA